CAGGCCUAACACAUGCAAGUCGAACGCUAAUUUAUAUAGAGUGGCGCACGGGUGAGUAACACGUGGGAACUGCCCUUCUGCCUGGGAUAACAGUUGGAAACGACUGCUAAUACCGGAUACGCCCUUCGGGGGGAAGGUCCGCCGCAGAAGGAGGAGCCCGCGCUCGAUUAGCUAGUUGGUGAGGUAAUGGCUCACCAAGGCGACGAUCGAUAGCUGGUCUGAAAGGAUGAUCAGCCACACUGGGACUGAGACACGGCCCAGACUCCUACGGGAGGCAGCAGUGGGGAAUAUUGGACAAUGGGGGCAACCCUGAUCCAGCAAUGCCGCGUGUGUGAUGAAGGCCUUAGGGUUGUAAAGCACUUUCACUGGUGAAGAUGAUGACGGUAACCAGAGAAGAAGCCCCGGCUAACUUCGUGCCAGCAGCCGCGGUAAUACGAAGGGGGCGAGCGUUGUUCGGAAUUACUGGGCGUAAAGGGAGCGCAGGCGGUUCAUUAAGUUAGGCGUGAAAGCCCCGGGCUCAACCUGGGAACUGCGCUUAAUACUGGUGAGCUAGAAAACAGGAGAGGGUAGUGGAAUUUCCAGUGUAGAGGUGAAAUUCGUAGAUAUUGGAAAGAACACCGGUGGCGAAAGCGGCUACCUGGCCUGAUUU
RNAcentral lists this ribosomal RNA (649 nucleotides) under uncultured bacterium. RNAcentral's name for it is "bacterial SSU rRNA". It matches the Rfam family "Bacterial small subunit ribosomal RNA", at positions 43 to 740 of the family's 1533-position model. The record is from RNAcentral.